GAUGAACGCUAGCGAUAGGCUUAACACAUGCAAGUCGAGGGCAGCACAAGGUAGCUUGCUAUCUGGGUGGCGACCGGCGCACGGGUGCGUAACGCGUAUGCAACUUGCCCUAUACAGGAGGAUAACCCGUCGAAAGACGGACUAAUACUGCGUAUGCUCACAACUUGGCAUCAAGUGGUGAGGAAAGAAAUUCGGUAUAGGAUAGGCAUGCGUCCCAUUAGCUUGUUGGUGAGGUAACGGCUCACCAAGGCAACGAUGGGUAGGGGAACUGAGAGGUUUAUCCCCCACACUGGUACUGAGACACGGACCAGACUCCUACGGGAGGCAGCAGUGAGGAAUAUUGGUCAAUGGGCGCGAGCCUGAACCAGCCAAGUCGCGUGAAGGAUGACUGUCUUAUGGAUUGUAAACUUCUUUUAUACGGGAAUAACAAGAGUCACGUGUGACUCCCUGCAUGUACCGUAUGAAUAAGCAUCGGCUAACUCCGUG
This 486-nucleotide ribosomal RNA is filed under the name uncultured bacterium. RNAcentral describes it as "partial 16S ribosomal RNA". It matches the Rfam family "Bacterial small subunit ribosomal RNA", at positions 28 to 507 of the family's 1533-position model. The record is from RNAcentral.